GAUGAACGCUAGCUACAGGCUUAACACAUGCAAGUCGAGGGGCAUCAGGAAGAAAGCUUGCUUUCUUUGCUGGCGACCGGCGCACGGGUGAGUAACACGUAUCCAACCUGCCCUUUACUCGGGGAUAGCCUUUCGAAAGAAAGAUUAAUACCCGAUAGCAUAAUGAUUCCGCAUGGUUUCAUUAUUAAAGGAUUCCGGUAAAGGAUGGGGAUGCGUUCCAUUAGGUUGUUGGUGAGGUAACGGCUCACCAAGCCUUCGAUGGAUAGGGGUUCUGAGAGGAAGGUCCCCCACAUUGGAACUGAGACACGGUCCAAACUCCUACGGGAGGCAGCAGUGAGGAAUAUUGGUCAAUGGGCGUUAGCCUGAACCAGCCAAGUAGCGUGAAGGAUGAAGGCUCUAUGGGUCGUAAACUUCUUUUAUACGGGAAUAAAGUAUCCUACGUGUGGGAUUUUGUAUGUACCGUAUGAAUAAGCAUCGGCUAACUCCGUG
RNAcentral lists this ribosomal RNA (489 nucleotides) under uncultured bacterium. Its description in RNAcentral is "bacterial SSU rRNA". It matches the Rfam family "Bacterial small subunit ribosomal RNA", at positions 28 to 507 of the family's 1533-position model. The record is from RNAcentral.